UACUGAUUUUUAAUCUGAGAGUUUUCAGUUCACUGAGAGAAGUCAUCAUCUUUACACAAAACAUCUUCCAUCAAGCAUCACUGGUGUCAUUGUUACUGAACCUCCGCGGAGCACUGCAGCUCUAAGCAUUGUCCACUCUGAACUUGGUACUUGCUUCUAUAUCACCUCGUCAGUAUGCAUAAUUCAUUCUCUGAACCCAUGAGACCCCACACUUCCGGAAGGCAAGGUACACACAUAUCCAUCAGUGUUUCACUCAGGGCACUAGAGUAAAGUUGCAGACCCGAUGACCAGCAUGUAGGUCUCAAAAAGUCAUUUAUGGUCCUCUAAGAGAAGCAGGCUUCAUUCUUAAGAGACACGAAUGGAAAGCUGCAUCUGGAAGCUUGAUUAAAAAACAAACAAACAAACAAAAAACUACAUGACUUUUUCCUGUAAGAAAUAAGUCAAUGGAGGGAAAAUGAAAUAAACCCAGUUCAACUUCAAAACUGUGAGAGCUGACGUUUAUUGGUCUAAGGUUCAGUAUCAAUGAACACAGGAUAGCAAGUCAUGUAGUUUUGUAUUAGAGAGCAGGUGGUGAGACAUGGCUUUGCCAGAAUCAUUGACUGCUUUUCUUCGGAACUGCAGGGUGAGAAAUUACCUAUUUUUUUCCACCUUUGGUCUCCAAGGAAAUCCGAAGGUGCUAGGAUUCCAGGAGCCGUGGGUCUGUUUUUAGCCUUCGUUUAGGGUGGGUGAUUUCCUUUACUUCCACGUCUAAAGAGCAACAACUCAUUUCUUGAGUCUCCCUCAAGGAAGCUGGCACAAAGGAGAAGAUGGUCGGGAAAACACUAAAGCCUAGGGCCACCUAUUCCAAGGCGCACCUGCGCUGCAAACUUAGGAAACAUCGGUACUGAGCUACUUUGGCCAGCGGCAGCCCAGAGGACAGGCGCAUGCGUAGUAAGCACAACUCGGCUCGCCCGCAGACGUCAUUCCGGGCCGGCGGCCCCGCCCUUCUCAAGAUGGCGCUGUUCUCUGUGCGGAAGGCCCGUGAGUGCUGGCGCUUCAUCCGGGCACUUCACAAAGGACCCGCAGCAACUCUGGCUCCCCAGAAGGAGAGUGGAGAGCGAGUGUUUUCUGGCAUUCAGCCUACAGGAAUCCUCCACCUGGGAAAUUACCUUGGAGCCAUCGAGAGCUGGGUGAACUUACAGGAGGAAUAUGACACAGUGAUAUACAGCAUCGUGGACCUCCACUCCAUCACUGUCCCCCAAGACCCCACCGUCCUCCAGCAGAGCAUCCUGGACAUGACUGCUGUGCUUCUUGCCUGUGGCAUAAACCCAGAGAAAAGUAUCCUUUUCCAGCAGUCUAAGGUGUCUGAACACACUCAGUUAAGUUGGAUCCUCACCUGCAUGGUGAGACUGCCUCGAUUGCAGCAUUUACACCAGUGGAAGGCAAAGGCUGCGAAGCAGAAGCAUGAUGGGACCGUAGGCCUGCUCACAUACCCUGUACUCCAGGCAGCAGACAUCCUGUGCUACAAGGUCUCCCUGUGAACUUGGAAUCCUCAGGCUCCUGAGUGCUGGAAUCACAGGUCCACACACGUUCCUGUCGGGGAGGAUCAAGUCCAGCACAUGGAACUAGUUCAGGAUCUAGCUCGAAGUUUCAACCAAAAGUAUGGGGAGUUCUUUCCAUUGCCCAAGUCCAUUCUCACAUCCAUGAAGAAAGUGAAAUCUCUUCGAGACCCUUCUUCCAAGAUGUCAAAAUCGGACCCUGACAAACUCGCCACUGUUCGAAUAACAGACAGCCCAGAGGAGAUUGUACAGAAAUUCCGCAAGGCUGUGACAGACUUCACGUCAGAGGUCACCUACGAGCCGGACAGCAGAGCUGGUGUUUCCAACAUGGUGGCGAUCCACGCGGCCGUGUCGGGCCUCUCGGUGGAGGAGGUGGUGCGCAGUAGCGCAGGCUUGGACACUGCACGCUACAAGCUGCUAGUGGCCGAUGCUGUGAUUGAGAAAUUUGCUCCAAUCAGGAAGGAGAUUGAGAAAUUGAAAAUGGAUAAGGACCACUUAAGAAAGGUUUUACUUGUUGGAUCUGCAAAAGCCAAAGAAUUGGCCUCUCCUGUGUUCGAGGAGGUGAAGAAGUUGGUGGGGAUUCUGUAGCAAGGUCAGCCAGUCACUGCACUCAAGUCAAGGCAGCUUUCCUCCCACAGAUUUUAGCCUGUCCAAAUUCAAUUGAGUGUGAUGAUCAGCUGCAUUUGAUGACUGCUGUCAAUUGAGCAACGUUCCAAUCCCUGAGGCAGGCACAGCUCUUCCACUCCAGUUCAAUGACACACAGUUUUUUGGUCUGAAGUAUUCCCGAAAACGUGAACAAUUACUGAGCCAUGGCGUGUGCUUGCUUGUGCAGUAUUUACUGUGCAGGUGCACUUUGUCUGUGUUGUGCAGACAGGUCCUAUGCUGCAAUCCUGAAUCCAGUGGGUAUUUGCAGUUCAUAAAGAGAGGUUCAUUCUUGCAGCUCAUGUGAUGAUGAUGUGAUGAUGUUUAUCCUCAUGUAUUGGAAUGACUUGACUUGUGCUAGCAAGGUGGCUCGGGCUCAAGGUACCUGCUGCCAAGCUGAAUAGCUGGAGCUCAAUCCACAGGGCCAGCAUGGUGGAAGGAGAAACUGACUGGCAGGUUGUCCUCUGACCUCCGCUUGUCUGCCAUGGUAUGAGUACACACACACACACACAUGCGCGCCUAAGUAAAAAUACAAUAACCUACUUGUUUCUUAAAAGGCACACACUGACUUACUUAUUUCAGCAAAUGUCUGUACUUAAGUGAUCCAGGAGGUCAUUGGAGAGCAUUAUAUUGCUUCAGUUCCAUCUAUUUAUUAUACAGGGCCUGUGUUCCUGGUUGUAUUCAUAAUAAGCACUUCUAUUUUUACAUUCAUCUCAGUUUAGUCUCACCAAACCCUACCUCUGUGGAACACAUAGGAACUGAGGGGUAGAACAUGGAAUUAGCUGUACAGUGUCACUAAGUAAAUAAGAAGCAAGUCCAAGAGUGAAGGCCUAGCUCCCCUGCUUCCAAGACUGGUGCUUUUUAAGACUUCUCCCAAAGCUCUGAGGGCCAAAGUUUUGGACCUCUAAACAUUCCAGUAUUCAGUUUGGAUACUGAAAAGAUAAAGGCUGAAAUACUGAUUUUUGUUUAUGUGAACUCAGCUAAUGGUUGUGUAUUUUAAAUCUGGAUCCAGCCACCUCUGGUCACACUUACCUUUCAAAACCCCAAAAAUGGGUCCCAUGGCCUCACUUCCAAAUUCAUGCUGGAGAUGCCUGCUUGUCUCGGCCAGAUUCCAGUGGGAGCGAAGUCUAAAGCAUCUGACGUUUCCAGUGAAGGGAAGCUUCCCGUCUCAGCCUGCCUCAGGCUCUGUGAAAUCACAGAGUAUAGCUCUGCACGUCCAUGUUCACAGCUGAAACGAAUGGCAGUCCUGGCUUACAUCCCAAGGCCUGUAUCAAGAUUGAUUUUGCAGGGCCAGCAAGAUGGCUCAGCAGAAAAGGGCUCCUUUUGUGAAGCAAGCCUGACUAUGUGAGUUCAAUCCCUGAGAUCCAUGUGAUAAAUAAAGGAGAGAACCAACUCCUCAACGUUGUACUGUGACUUACACACACACACACACACACACACACACACACACACACCACAAUGAAAUGCACAGGACUACCCACACACAAAAAUAAAUAAAUGUUUACUUUUAAUGUUAAGGUUGAGUUCACCUCGAUUGUCACAUAGAAUUGGAAGUAGGAGACACUGUAUCCCAGAGUCCAGAUUAAAACACCAACUAGGUUCGGGAAAAGGGUACAUUUUACUUUUGGGGGGGGUGCAUGUUGUUUUCUUAAUUCAUUUAUUUAUUAGUGUAUGUGUUUGAAUGGGUGAGAUCAUGCUAAGGUGUGUCUGUCACGGUUGGAGGAUGAUUAGUGGGGUCCGGUUCUCUCCUUCCACCACGUAGGUUCUGGGACUCGAGCUCAGGUCAUCAGGCACACUUUCCCGUUGGGCCAGUUAGUUUUAUCUUUUGCACCUUAGUGGGAGAUGUCUGCAGUCUGAGAGCAUCACUGAGUGUAUUUCUUUUAAAGAUCUUUUUUACUUUCCUUUCGUUUUAUCUGUUUGCAUUUGUGUGUGUAUGUGUGCGCGCGCGCACGUGCGCAUGCAUGCAUGCCACAAAACAUGUGUGAUGUCAGAGGACAGUGCAAAAGCUGGCUUUCUUCCACCAGGUAGAUUCCAGGGUUCAAACUCAGGCUGUCCGGCUUAGCAGCAGGCACCCCUGCCUACUGAGGCAGCCCACCAGUACCUUUUCACCUUCCUUUUAAAGAAAUCUAUUAGGAAUACUGGGAAUUGUAUCUACCAGGCCAAUUGCCUGUUUAGCUCUGUGGUCUCUACCUCCUAGCAAUGCUUCUGUCUAGCAAGAACUAAAGGCAAUAGGAAAAGAUCUCCAAAAAAAAAGAAAAAGUGUAAAAGAGAGGGGGAGGGAACAAAAAACACAAAAACACUAGAACAGGAUAACGUCUAAGGAACAGGGUCAGUGCAUUCUGUUAUGUAAGACUCUUACUGCAGAAAAUCUAAAUUUGCCAUAUAAUUAAGAUUCUUGCUCAAUCAAUGUAUUAAAGUUCCCCAGGGAAACAAGCCCAAUAGGACACAUAGAAACAAAAGAGAGUGGGCUGAAGAGAUGGCUCAGGGGUUAAGAGCAUUAGCUGCUCUUCCAGUGGUCAUGAGUUCAAUUCCUAGCAACCACAUGGUGGCUCACAACCAUCUGUAAUGGAAUCUGAUGCCCUCUUCUGGUGUGUCUGAAGAGAGCAACAGUAUACUCACAUACAUAAAAUAAAUAAAUAAAUGGUAAGUUCUGAGAGACAGAGAGACAGAGAGGAGAGGAAGUUAGUUUACCAGGGGCUGGAGCAUGGCUCAGUGACCAAUGGCAUGAAGUUUUUUUCCCAGCACUCAUGUUGGGCAGCCCACAACUGCCUGCAAAUGCCAGCACUAAGGGGUCAGAUAUCUCUGGCUUUAGCAUGCACCUGUAUUCACAUAACUAAAAAUUACACACUUAAAAUAAUAACAAUUUGCCAUAUGGAUUGGGUCACACUAUUACAAGGACUGGGAGAAAACAUAGCAUGCUGUCUUUAACCUGGAGACUCAGGACAGCAGCGUAAUCCAGACCAGACUUAAAGGCUAACUUGUCAGUGGUGCAUAGUCAGUUCAAGGAAUUCAGAGCCAAGAGACUGGACAGGGACUCCUGUGCAAGUCCCGGAGUCUGGGAACCAUAAACUAUGACAUUCCAAGAUGGGUCAGCUCAAGGAAAGAACAAACUGGCCUUUCCCACAUUUUUGAGGCGGCCCCUUGAUGGAUUGGUUAGGACCUGCUAACAUUGACAAGGAUAAGUCUUCAUUUACUGACUCAGUGUCCAAUCUUUUCUAGAAAUACCCUCAGACAACCCCCCUGAAAAAAAGUAAAAUUAAAAAAGAAAAGGUUUCACUAGCUAUCUGUUACACCCUGUCGCCUCAGAAGCUGAGAGCAAAGGCUGCAUACAGCCUAGUGUGCCUCUUCACCCCUUCCCAUUGUUGUUUACAGGCCCAGCAGGUUGUUUUUUUCUUGAGACAGGGGCUCUACAUAACCCAGGCUGUACUGGUCUACUGUGUAGACCAGGUUAGCUUUGAACUGAUAGAGCUCCUCUGCCUUCUGGAUGCUGAGAUUAAUGGAGUGUACCACCAUGCUGGCCCAAGAAUAAAUAAAUGUGUGUGUGUGUGUGUGUGUGUGUGUGUGUGUGUGUGUAGAGUUAGAAAUACAAACAACUGACAACUAUGGUUGACUUCAAAAGGAAAAUUUUAUUGUUAUUUCCUAUUAGCUCUAUAGAGAAUGGAAAUGUAAAAAUAUUUCAAAUGAUAAUGUUAUAGCAGUCAGGCAGCAUGGUGCCUGUAACUGUGCCUCCUGACAAAUCCCACUGCACACUACCUUGUCCAACUAGACCCUCUCCACAGUGAGUAGGUUCAUCUUCAUUGGUUUAUCUUUUUGAUAUAUGAUAGUUAUCAGAGUAUUACCAGAAAAUGUGCUAGAGACUUCUAAUAAAGUGUGAUUCCCCCACCAUGAUUCCUGCUCCCCCCAAAAAAACACCCUUCCAGAUGCACACCACAAGUGUGGUUAUCACAAAGCAACUCCCAGCACUAUCAGUUCUGAUGUCUAUUGGGUACAGUGCUAAAUGUCUGCAACCAUCACCUACAUAAAUUGUAUAAAGGAAACUAUUUAUUUUUACUUCACCAUUUUGAGGGUUAAGUCCAUGAUUGGUUGGUCCAUUUGUUUUUCUACCUACCUCAGGGAAAUGCAUCCAGACAGCACAGCUGCUUAUUUUAUGGUGGUAAGCCAGCAAGAAGAAAAGUUGAGGGAAUGGGAUGCCAGUCCCCUCUGUGAACCUACCCCUUAAUGACCACAGUGUGUCCCACUAGGCCCCAACUCAGUAUUUCUACUACCCCC
This is an RNA transcript of Mus musculus (house mouse), 6449 nucleotides long. It is a transcript of the gene named tryptophanyl tRNA synthetase 2 (mitochondrial), with no coding region annotated. NCBI's taxonomy places the organism in Eukaryota, Metazoa, Chordata, Mammalia, Rodentia, Muridae. The record is from RefSeq and is marked validated. The transcript has 7 exons.